CCUACGGGAGACAGCAGUAGGGAAUCUUCCACAAUGGGCGAAAGCCUGAUGGAGCAACGCCGCGUGGGUGAAGAAGGUCUUCGGAUCGUAAAACCCUGUUGUUAGAGAAGAAAGUGCGUGAGAGUAACUGUUCACGUUUCGACGGUAUCUAACCAGAAAGCCACGGCUAACUACGUGCCAGCAGCCGCGGUAAUACGUAGGUGGCAACCGUUAUCCGGAUUUAGUGGGCGUAAAGGGAACGCAGGGGGACUUUUAAGUCUGAUGUGAAAGCCUUCGGCUUAACCGGAGUAGUGCAUUGGAAACUGGGAGACUUGAGUGCAGAAGAGGAGAGUGGAACUCCAUGUGUAGCGGUGAAAUGCGUAGAUAUAUGGAAGAACACCAGUGGCGAAAGCGGCUCUCUGGUCUGUAACUGACGCUGAGGUUCGAAAGCGUGGGUAGCAAACAGGAUUAGAUACCCGAGUAGUC
RNAcentral lists this ribosomal RNA (465 nucleotides) under uncultured bacterium. RNAcentral describes it as "partial 16S ribosomal RNA". It matches the Rfam family "Bacterial small subunit ribosomal RNA", at positions 338 to 795 of the family's 1533-position model. The record is from RNAcentral.